CCCCAGCUGGGUCAGUUGGUAGAGCAUGUGACUCUUGAUCUCAGGAUUGUGAGUUCAAGCCCCAUGUUGGGCG
RNAcentral lists this transfer RNA (73 nucleotides) under Canis lupus familiaris (dog). It matches the Rfam family "tRNA". From Rfam's summary of the family: Transfer RNA (tRNA) molecules are approximately 80 nucleotides in length. RNAcentral also lists the same sequence under 1 other name. The record is from Rfam by way of RNAcentral. Lineage: Eukaryota; Metazoa; Chordata; Mammalia; Carnivora; Canidae.